UACGUAGGUCCCGAGCGUUGUCCGGAUUUAUUGGGCGUAAAGCGAGCGCAGGUGGUUUAUUAAGUCUGGUGUAAAAGGCAGUGGCUCAACCAUUGUAUGCAUUGGAAACUGGUAGACUUGAGUGCAGGAGAGGAGAGUGGAAUUCCAUGUGUAGCGGUGAAAUGCGUAGAUAUAUGGAGGAACACCGGUGGCGAAGGCGGCUCUCUGGCCUGUAACUGACACUGAGGCUCGAAAGCGUGGGGAGCAAACAGG
RNAcentral lists this ribosomal RNA (252 nucleotides) under uncultured bacterium. Its description in RNAcentral is "partial 16S ribosomal RNA". It matches the Rfam family "Bacterial small subunit ribosomal RNA", at positions 524 to 776 of the family's 1533-position model. The record is from RNAcentral.